UACGAAGGGGGCUAGCGUUGCUCGGAAUUACUGGGCGUAAAGGGCGCGUAGGCGGAUAGUUUAGUCAGAGGUAAAAGCCCAGGGCUCAACCUUGGAACUGCCUUUGAUACUGGCUAUCUUGAGUUCGGGAGAGGUGAGUGGAAUGCCGAGUGUAGAGGUGAAAAUUCGUAGAUAUUCGGCGGAACACCAGUGGCGAAGGCGACUCACUGGCCCGAUACUGACGCUGAGGCGCGAAAGCGUGGGGAGCAAACAGG
Molecule: ribosomal RNA, 254 nt
Filed under: uncultured bacterium
Lineage: Bacteria
Description: partial 16S ribosomal RNA
Rfam family: Bacterial small subunit ribosomal RNA
Source: RNAcentral